RNAcentral lists this ribosomal RNA (822 nucleotides) under uncultured Granulicatella sp. RNAcentral describes it as "bacterial SSU rRNA". It matches the Rfam family "Bacterial small subunit ribosomal RNA", at positions 68 to 870 of the family's 1533-position model. Lineage: Bacteria; Bacillati; Bacillota; Bacilli; Lactobacillales; Carnobacteriaceae. The record is from RNAcentral.
GAGAGCGACCGGUGCUUGCACUGGUCAAUCUAGUGGCGAACGGGUGAGUAACACGUGGGUAACCUGCCCAUCAGAGGGGGAUAACAUUCGGAAACGGAUGCUAAAACCGCAUAGGUUCUACAGUCGCAUGACUGAAGAAGGAAAAGAGGCUUCGGCUUCUGCUGAUGGAUGGACCCGCGGUGCAUUAGCUAGUUGGUGAGGUAACGGCUCACCAAGGCCGUGAUGCAUAGCCGACCUGAGAGGGUGAUCGGCCACAUUGGGACUGAGACACGGCCCAAACUCCUACGGGAGGCAGCAGUAGGGAAUCUUCCGCAAUGGACGCAAGUCUGACGGAGCAACGCCGCGUGAGUGAAGAAGGAUUUCGGUUCGUAAAACUCUGCUGUUAGAGAAGAACAGCGCAUAGAGUAACUGUUAUGCGUGUGACGGUAUCUAACCAGAAAGCCACGGCUAACUACGUGCCAGCAGCCGCGGUAAUACGUAGGUGGCAAGCGUUGUCCGGAUUUAUUGGGCGUAAAGCGAGCGCAGGCGGUCAAUUAAGUCUGAUGUGAAAGCCCCCGGCUCAACCGGGGAGGGUCAUUGGAAACUGGUUGACUUGAGUGCAGAAGAGGAGAGUGGAAUUCCAUGUGUAGCGGUGAAAUGCGUAGAUAUAUGGAGGAACACCAGUGGCGAAGGCGACUCUCUGGUCUGUAACUGACGCUGAGGCUCGAAAGCGUGGGUAGCAAACAGGAUUAGAUACCCUGGUAGUCCACGCCGUAAACGAUGAGUGCUAAGUGUUGGAGGGUUUCCGCCCUUCAGUGCUGCAGUUAACGCAUUAAGCACUCC